This 28927-nucleotide long non-coding RNA is filed under the name Sorghum bicolor (sorghum). RNAcentral's name for it is "long non-coding RNA (SBIC_LNC001641)". Lineage: Eukaryota; Viridiplantae; Streptophyta; Magnoliopsida; Poales; Poaceae. The record is from RNAcentral.
GUCUCUGAAUAUAUCAAAACAUGUAUAAGACCACCCGUGAAGUGCAAUCGCAUCCCCAUCCACAGAUUUAGUUGUAGGCGUCGGGGUUGGCGACGAGGUAGGCCUCGGCACCCUUGAAGAUGGCGGUGACUGCCUCCUUGGCCUUGACUUCCUCGCCCUUCACGUCCACACCCGGCAGCAGCUUGUAGGUCGACUCCACCUUCACCACGCUGCCGCCGCCGGCCGCGGGCUCCACCUUGAUGUGCGACGCCGCGGUCUCGACGGCCACGCCGAUGCCGCCUCCCUCGACGAGCGUCGACUUGCACUCGCACUUGUCCAUGUCCAGGGACUCGAGCUUCUCCUUCAUGAAGCUGAAUGGCAUGACUGCAAGAGCGAUCGAUCCCACGUCAGGCGCUAGCUGUUUGAUCGAUGAUCAAGCGAGAGAACAUCAUGUUGGUCUGGGCAACACUUACAUGAGGUGAAGUUGAACUGCCUGACGCUGCCAACACCGCCGUCGCCCUCCACGGGAUGGGCGCUUGUGACGACGUGAGAGGCGACCUUGGGCGCCAGGUUGUGCCAGUCCAUCACGGCGGCGCGGAACAGGCGCGGCGCGGCCACCGGCGACGGGAUCUCGAGGGUCCAGCUGUUGGAAGCCAUGGCUGGUGGUCUGCGAUGAGCUUUGGCUCGGUGCCUAGCUAGGUCUAGUUUGAUUAGCUGAUGCAAGUAGGUGGAGCUGCUGCUUGUGUUGCUGGAACGAGCGGCAAAAAGGGAUUUAAAUAGAGUGCGAUGAGCGCGGGGUUGGUGACGCUUUGCCCCGUUGGUGUCCGGUGGUGACUGGUGAGGCCUGAAAGUUGCUGGGCGAGUCGUCGCGCUUUUCCACAAUGGAUGGCUCUCCGUCGGUCGAGUGAGCUUUAUUAAUAAGGCGGGCGUCCAAAACACACGUCGUUGUCGCACACUCUUUGUCAAAACACGAGGAUAUAUUCGAGGAAUAUGUUGACCGAAUUGGCGGCUUGCCGCCACCUUCCGCUUGCACAAAUUGGUCUAGGUCUUAAAAACAAGCCAUGUAUGUCACAUUUGGUUGGUAUAUACAAGUAGUAUGUAAUGACUGUCAGAGUUCUAGAUAUUUGACUGCAUGGAUGUCUGCAUGCUGGAUAACUUCCAUUCUAGAACGAUAUGCCUUGACUAACAUGAAUUCAUCAUCUUUUGAAUUUAGACAUGAGAGGACUUAAGUUCCGUUUGACACAACUCAGUUUUAUUAUCGAAGCUGUUUCUUUAGAUAGCUUUAUGAGUAACUUUCUUGGCUGAGCUAUUUUAGAAAAUCAUUUUGUAAAAUAGUUUCACUAACAACUUUAUGCAUGGUUGAGAGGGGAAAAUGAGAGAGCUUUUUGAAAAGUUGUUUUUUAGUUCUACUUUUCCGUGGGAGCAUAAAAAAGGUGUUUGACAAAAGAAAAGAGUAAAGUCCAUCACCAGUCUCUAAACUUGUUUAGGUAUAUCAUCCCGGUCUCUAACUCGCAAAACGAUCGUUUAGGUACCUAAACUUGUUCGGCUAUAUCACUCUGGUCCCUAAACUUGGAAAUCUCAUAUAUAGGCCUUCAAACUUGUUUAGUUGUGUCAUCCCAGUCCCUAAACUUGUUUUUAAGUCUCGUCUGGUUCAAAACGGAACGAAUCUAAAAACUCUAUAAAUAACUCAUAACUUUUUCAUAUAAACUCAAAUAAAGAUAAACUUUAUAUUAAAAUUAUAGCCAACAAUGUGAUCUACAACUUUGUAGUUAAAAAGUUUUUAAACUAAAAUAAUUUAGGGUCUCAUUUUUUUGUAAGUUUAUUAAAUUUUGUGACACUAAAUGACUUCAAAUAAAAAACUUUUCAACUACAAAGUUAUAGAUCACAUUGAAGGCUACAACUUUAAUAUAAAGUUUGUUUUCAUUCAAGUUUAUAUGAAAACGUUAUGAAUUAUUUUUCUAUAUAGAGUUUUUAGAUCGCUUUGUUUUGACCCAGGUGAGACUCAAGACCAAGUUUAGGGACUGAGAUGACACAACUGAAUAAAUUUAAGGACCUAAAUGGGUAAUUUCUAAGUUUAGAAACCAGGAUGACACAUCUGAACAAGUUUAGAGACCGGAAUGAUAUAGACAAACAAGUUUAAUGACCUAAAUGAUCAAUUUAUGAGUUUAGGGACCGAUCGAGGUGAUACAACAGGUGGUGGAUUUUACUAUAAAAACUCACAACAACUCAUGAAGUUGUUGAUGAAGCUGUGCCAAAUAAGGCCUCACUUGCUGACGGUGUUGUCACCCUUUUCUUCUUAUCUCACCCUUUACAGAUCUUUUACAAGAAACAUCUUGUAAACAAAUCGUUGUCACCCUUUUUUUUUUGUUGAGUGACCCCUUCUCGCUCUAGCAAGAUCUUUUGCCGUUCUUCAAAUGGUAACAUGAUGUACCACUCAACAUGCAUGGGAGGUAAAAAAAAUGGUACCUAGGUACUAAUACUUUUGAUAGCUACAGUACCAAACUCAAGUUAUAUAUAGUUUUGAUACCUUACCAACGAUAAAAAAACUCCUUACAAAUGACUUCUAUGGCUUCUUAUAGACACUAGUUGCUAUAUGAUAUAAGGACACAACUAUGACAAUUAAGGAGUGGUGGGGUCUUUAUUAAAGGUUUGUUUGGACUUUGGAUACAAGGCGUAAUUGCUAGUUAGCUAAGAACUAGCUCGUGUAUCUAAAUAUGAGAGUUAAUAGGUGAGUUACUUUUAUAGUCAUUUUUUUUACUAGUCGUUAGUCAACAACCAGUAACUAGCCAUGUGUAUCUAAAUCUCCUACAACUAAAAAGAACAAAACGUGGAUACUUUUUGGUGCGACAUUCUAACGUGGGCCCAUAGUCCUGCCUGCUGCGUUCCCGUGGCCACUCUACAUCGUGCAUGACAUCCCUUGCGAUAUUCAAUUCAAAUCAAGAAUCGAUAUGUCAGGUUCCAGUUUUUAUACGAUUGCCAUAUGAAGCCUUUCCGCCAAAAGCCGUCCGACCACGGUGAAACAAAAAUAAUAAUAAAAUCUGCCCCAAUUCACGGACGGGUGACCAACGUGGCCAUGCAUGAAAGAAAUCGUCUAAAAAAUACUCAACUUUCCAUCUCUUCCGCUCCCUUUUCUUGAGAAAAAUGGUCAACCAUCGUGCAACUAAUCAGGAGACCAUCCCACCGAUCCCGCGUGCACAGCUGGCGGAAGCCCCUCGCGCGGUCACAAUCUCUCCUCAAUCAUGCACGGACAUCGCGUUCCUUAGGCAAAAGCAGAAAUUCCUCUCGAUCAUGCGCCGCCGCAACGAAACAUCUUCCUUUCCUGCCCGACGCCCUCGCUCUCGGUGCUUGGAGAGAUCGAGCCGAGCAUACCGGCUUCCCCUGAAGGCUUGAGACGGACACAGUUGACUGCUUCUUCGUCAUUGAUUGUCGCCAGCAACUGCGCCCUUGGCAUCGGUGUGGCCUUGCAAGAUUGGAUCUUUUUGUUUUCAUCCCAAUCAUCGCCAUGGCGGCCUCCUCCCCCUGAACGAUGAACGCAGCUGCUUCGUCAUUGAUGAUCAGCUUCUGACCCUUCACCAAUCUCUAUCCCCUAUUAUUUGUUCCAUCAUCUGUUCCACUUUCCACGAUUGAUUCAGUACUGGUGUUGCAAACUUAUUUCGAUUCUCAAAAAGCGAACAACCUGAUCGGUUUGGUAAGCAUCUUUCUAUUCCAGGCUAUCGAAGCUCUCAUUAAGCUUUUUGAUUCAGUUUGUGCCAAAGGUACGUUCUUGGCAAAUGCGAGCUGGCACCAUGAAGCAAAUUAUAGCUAUUGGAGUCCAGUAGAUAAUAUCUUGUGUGAUCUCCUUGUUCUUAAAUAGUGUAAUUUAAGAAAAAACUUAUUCAUGUUUGUUCUCUUCGACCUUUUUAGAUACAAGACACAGAUUAUUAUAUUGAUAUCAUAAUUGGUUGUGGCAUUGAGGUGUGUAAAUUUAUGCUUUUCUCUUUUCUGUCGGUGUUUAAACUCUCUUCUGAAUUCAUGCCAUCCAUUGACUCCAGGUGAGAAACACCUCCUGUUGUUUAAUUGUUUUUUUGCUCUUGCUUUCAGUAUGAAUAGUCAAAUAUAGUCAAAACAAUAACCUGGUUCAGUAGUAAUAAGGAAUCAAGCUAUUGCAACACUUCUUGUCAAAAAAAUGCAGCACUUCUAGAGUUGCUACGGGUUUUAAAAUUCUCACUUGCUGCACAUUAGGAGACGAAAUUCUUGGUUUCAGUUAGCAGAGUGACACUUAUCACUGUUAUCUAUAAGGCAAAUCUAACAACAUAGCACAGAUUGUGGACAUCAGUUUUUUUUUAGAAAGUGGACAUUGUGGGCGGCUGAGCGGGCACCUACGGGUGGGCGCGGCCGGCGUCAUGGCCAGCUCUGGGCGGGCGCGGGGUGGGGGAGGGGGGUGAUCAAGGCUGAAUCACAGGAAGGUUUCCUUUUAGGUGCUGUUAGCUUGGUUGGCUAAUCCCACACGCUUGAGGAGUUGCCUCUAGGAGGGGGCUGAAAUCACUUGGAGUUUCUUUUGAAUAUCGCAACGGGUGGAAAUAUUGAUCACGAAAAAAGUGGAAACAAAUAGCACCUUGGCUCUUUCCUUUUGAAUAUAGCAAAGGAUGCUGUAGGUGGGCGACGACGUUGUAGGCUCACAAAAUCACUGUCGUUUGCAAUAACAAAUACCUAUGAUUUAACUAUUUCUAUAUAUUGCUGAUCAUGAAUCUUCCUACAGGUACUUAAGUGGAUUUCUCAUCCUACAAUAUAUGUCUACAUGGAAUAGACCAAAAGCCACACAUAUUUAUACAGUGAGUCUAACACUUUGUCUAAGUUUUUGUAAAAGUUUUUUAACAAAAUAUAGUAUUACCCAUGCGACACACACUAAUAUUUACAUAUAUAUACUCGAAUGUGUGACAGGAUGGUACGAAGAUGCGGCAGAAUUUAUUUGUGGAUUUACUGGCACAUGAAAGAAAUGGAUAUCCGAGAUAUCUUCCCGUCGAUAUUAAACAUUAUCUUAGCCGUAUCACGGAAAGGUCUAUAAAGUAGAGUUUGUGAGCCUACAACGUCGUGCUCUUCGUGACUGUGUUUGAUUUCACAAACAUUGCGAUCCUACAAUGUCAUUUUCAAGUUGUUAUUUAAGUAGAAGAUUCUAAUAUUAUUAUCUUGUUAUGCGAUCUAUGUAUUUUAAAUAAAAAAUGUUAGCUAUCCCGUAGCAACGCACGGGCAUGCUAUCUAGUAGAGUAGAAUUGUAAAAGAGAACAAUGGUAAUUCUAGUGUACUAUUCUUGAGAUGUCUAGAAAUAACAAAAUAGAAGGGCUUUGCACGGAAAGAGGAAUGUACUGUGAAAAACAUGGCAUAACUUAUGCCGAGGCUGUUCGUUCCGUUAAAAAAAUAAGUUGAAAAGAAAGUAAUGUUCACUAAUUUAUUGUGUGAGAAAAAUAUUGUAUCAUAGCUGAUAAGUCUGUAGUGUCAUUGUUAUAUUCGUUUGUAACAUAAAUUUGCAAAACUCUACAUUUAACAUUUUCUCUUUUUUUUAGAAAAAAAUGGACAGACACGAGAGCUACCUUUUAUAUAGUACAGUCAGGCUUCUCCUUACGUGAUUGAGCAAAGCUCGGUUGAGCAAACAAGGAUGACACAUCUGAACAAGUUUAGAGACCGGAAUGAUAUAGACAAACAAGUUUAAUGAUCUAAAUGAUCAAUUUAUGAGUUUAGGGACCGAGAUGAUACGACAGGUGAUGGAUUUUACUAAAAAAACUCACAACAACUCAUAAAGUUGUUGAUGAAGCUGUGCCAAAUAAGGCCUCACUUGCUGAUGGUGUUUUCACCCUUUUCUUCUUAUCUCACCUUUUACAGAUCUUUUACAAGAAACAUCUUGUAAACAAAUGGCUUAACUCUUUUUGUUGAGUGACCCCUUCUCGCUCUAGCAGGAUCUUUUGCCGUUCUUCAAAUGGUAACAUGAUGUACCACUCAACAUGCAUGGGAGGUAAAAAAAUGGUACCUAGGUACUAAUACUUUUGAUAGCUACAGUACCAAACUCAAGUUGUAUAUAGUUUUGAUACCUUACCAACGAUAAAAAAACUCCUUACAAAUGACUUCUAUGGCUUCUUAUAGACACUAGUUGCUAUGAUAUAAGGACACAACUAUGACAAUUAAGGAGUGGUGGGGUCUUUAUCAAAGGUUUGUUUGGACUUUGGAUACAAGGCGUAACUGCUAGUUAGCUAAGAACUAGCUCGUGUAUCUAAACAUGGGAGUUAAUAGGUGAGUUACUUUUAUAGUCAUUUUUUUGACUAGUCGUUAGUCAACAACCAGUAAUGUGGGGGUAUAAACCCCUAUACCCUUACGGCUAGACUUCGGCCAGGAGGCUUGGCCCAUUACGAGACGAGUCCAAGGCUUGAUCCGACAACCUGGAGUUUCGCGCAAGGAAACAAGAUGUGGAGAUCAAGCAGGAUUCUAGUCGGUUAGAAUAGAAAUUGAUAUCGAAUUAUCCAUGACAAUUGUAACCGACUAGGGUUAGUUUCCGGAUCUGUAACCCUGCCCUCCAGACUAUAUAAGGAGAGGCAAGGGACCCCCCUAGGACAUCAUAUUCUCUCAACACAAAUCAAUACAACCAGACGCAGGACGUAGGUAUUACGCCAACUCGGCGGCCGAACCUGGAUAAAAAGCUUGUCCGUGUCUUGCGUCACCAUCGAGUUCGUAGUUUGCGCACCGUCUACCGAUAAACUACUACCGUGGGUAUACCCCAAGGUAGACUGCCGACUAGCUUUCGUCGACAGUGGCGCGCCAGGUAGGGGGUGUGCGUGCAACUUUUCCGGCGAACAAGAUGGUCACGAUCCCAGCUUCCGCGACCGUGCCCGAAGGCCUCACGUUCACCGUCGGCCAGAUCACGUGGACGGCGUGCAGCGGCGGCUUCACGACCACGGUUUCGGAAGAGAUCCAGAUCCAAUCUGAGUUCACGCCGUCUCCGACCACACGCAUGACGGCACCAAGCGCCCGACCACCGUUCCCACUCUACAAGGGAAAGGAGAUCGACUGCUCGGACCUUCUCCAAGCGCUUGAUCGCGCUGACUCCAAGCUACUCGAAGUUUCCCAACUAAUAGAUGGAGUUCUGCGUCGGCCCGACCAAGCUGCUCCAGCGGAUUUUUUCAAAUCCCGCCGGCCAACUCGUGUCGCCACACACGAACGGCUGGGAACGUCUCUGACGAUAACCUCAACCCCCUCAGGACGAUCCGUCCAGCUCAAGAAGGAAGACUAUCCUUGCGGCCUGAACAACUCGACCUCUGUUUACUCACGGCACACCCAAUCCGUUUUCAGCAAGGCGGGUUGGUCGCCGACAACGAACAAUCGUCACCACGUCAACAUGGUGACAAUCCGAGAACUACGGGACGGCCAGGCUUCCAGCACCAACUCAAGCACCGGCUCCGUCCCCACCGAGGUUAUAAACACCGAAGACGAGGACUAUGACCUGGAUUUCCCUUCAUACCCUCCGGGUUUCGACCGAUUCCCGAUAUUCCCCCCCCGGCGAGGGGAUAUUGUGUUCAAUGUCAGCGCCGACGAACCGGUCGUUGAUGGAGAAACAGAUGACCAGAGGCAACUCCGCGAACGGCGUAACGCCGAUCGCGCCCGACGACGCGCGGACGAGCAACAACAAAUGCCACCAAAUAAUCUCAACGAUGCCUUUGACAUGGUCGGGGACCAGCCAGUCUACAAAACGCCAAGCGCCAACGUGGCUGUCGCCAUGGCUAACCUGGAUCGGCUUCCCGACACCCCCGAAUGCCAGGGAGUCCGGACCAGCAUCCGAGCACACCUGAUCGCCGCAAUGGGACAGACGGCCACUCUGCUCAAGAGAGUCUAGGACGUCUCUUAUACGGAAGCCGUCUCCGACCAGACUAAUCAUAGCCGGGCCUCACCCAGCAGGCGUCACCGCAGCCGCUCCCCCGACAACCGUCGAGGGGACUCACGGCGCGACGAUGGUGGUCGGGACGCCGAUGGCCGCCGCAAGCAGAACCGCGUACGCGGCCAAGAGGAAGAUCAACACAGGGAUCUCCGCCACAACAUCCCUUCCAAAGAUGCCCGGGACCACAUCAACAGGCGCGCUGCAGAGAGAGCAGUCCACGAAAACCUGCGCCGCAUCGAGUACGAUGCAACACACGGUCCCCCGGGCCUAAGACAGUUCUCCUCGCACCUCCGCCAGGUCGUGUGGCCCCGCAAUUUCAAGCUCGAAAAACUCAAAAAGUACGACGGCAAGGAAAAUCCAGAGAACUGGAUCACCCUCUAUGACAUCGCCGUCCGAUCAGCGGCAGGGGACGAGCACGUCAUGGCUAACUACUUCCCCGUAGUCCUCGACCAGGCUGGUCAUCAGUGGCUUCUCGGCUUGCCCGAGGACUCCUUCGACUCUUGGGAAGAGCUACGCCAGGCUUUCAUCGACAACUUCAUCGCCACAUGCGAGCAGCCUGGAAACAAGUAUGACCUUGAAAGGAUAAGGGACAGGAAGAACGAACCUCUGCGCGAUUACAUCCGACGAUUCUCGGAUAUGCGCCUCAAAAUCCCGAAGAUUUCUCAUGACGAGGCCAUCUCAGCCUUCAUCAAGGGCCUGCGUUUCCACGAAGCGCUGAGGAACAAGCUGUUGCGUAAGCGUCCAACAACGGUAGCAGAGCUCCUCGCCACGGCCAAAAAUUACGCCGAUGCCGAUGACGCAGAAAAACUAAUCCGAGACGAUGCGAGGGGUCCCGACCAGCCUCCCCGACGAGAUGAUGGUCGUGGUCGCAACGACAGCAGAAAUCACCGCCGCUCCGACAACCGCGAUCAUCGAGAGGGUUGGGAUCGGCGGCGCGACAGCCGCGAUGACUUCAGAGGAAAGCGCCCUCGCGACUACGACCACGAAGUAAAUACGGUCAAACGACCCAAUGGACGACGGGACUACCAAGAAGACUACAACAAAACGUUGAGGGGACCAUGCCAACUACACCCAAAGUCCAAUCAUACCAUGGAAGAGUGCCGCGUCCUCAAAAGUAUCUAUACACGGCGGGCCGCCCAAGACGACUCCGCCAAGAAAAACAACAAGCGCGACGCGCACGACCACGAAGAUGAGGAUGAGGACCAAGAUAGGGACCCCCGACACCAAUACGUCAGCCCCACUGACGUGGUCCACUCCAUUUUCGGGGGCAAGGUCUCCACUGAGUCCAAGCGAGAAAGAAAGCUGUUAAAGAGAGCCUGCCUCAACAUAGACAGCACGGACGGGCUGAUCGCAGACCCGAAAUUUCCCACGUGGUCCCACAGGGAGAUCUCGUUCAGCAGGAAGGACCAGUGGGCCGCUAUCCCAGAGCCGGGUCGUUUCCCCCUGAUUCUUGACCCCUGCAUCAACAGCAUCAGAUUCGAGCGCGUGCUCGUGGACGGGGGAAGCUCCAUCGACAUCCUCUUCCGCAACAGCCUGCCCGCCCUCAAGAUAUCCCCGGCACAACUAAAACCUUACGACGCCCAAUUCUGGGGGGUUUUGCCAGGUCAAAGUUCCGUGCCUCUCGGACAGAUAACAUUGCCUGUCCAAUUCGGCACACCCGACCACUUCCGGACAGAGUUCAUCAACUUCGUAGUCGCGGAUUUCGACGGGACCUAUCACGCCAUACUGGGCCGCCCAUCGCUGACAAAGUUCAUGGCAGUCCCGCACUACUCAUACCUAGUCCUUAAGAUGCCCACGGAGAAGGGUGUCCUAACCAUCAGAGGCAACGUCUACACUGCGUACACCUGCGAAGAAGAAAGCUUCAAGAUCACCGAGGCAAUUGACCUCUCAAUCCGCAUGGCGGAAACAGCAAACCAAGCCGCACAGCUGCCUCCCGACCAGCUCCGAUUACCCGAACAGGCGACAGCCAGGAAGAACUCAAAAUCCAAGGAGUACAAAGAAGUGCAGCUGGUCGAAGGCAACCCCGAGAAGACAGCCCUCAUCGGGGCCAACCUGGAUCCAAAAUAGGAAGACGCGCUCGUCAGGUUUCUAAGGGACAACGUGAGCGUUUUCGCAUGGAAACCCGCAGACAUGCCCGGUGUCCCACGAAACCUGAUCGAGCACUCCUUAAAUGUCUCGAAGACCGCAAGACCAAUCAAGCAAAAACUGCGACGGUUCGCUCGUGACAAAAAGGAGGCUAUUAGGACAGAAAUAACACGGCUUCUAGCAGCCGGAUUCAUAAAAGAAGUGUAUCACCCCGAUUGGCUCGCCAAUCCGGUUCUUGUACGCAAAAAGAAUAAUGAAUGGAGAAUGUGCGUUGAUUACACUGAUCUCAACAAACACUGUCCUAAAGAUCCUUUUGGUCUCCCUCGCAUCGACGAGGUGGUCGACUCAACGGCCGGAUGCGAACUCCUCUCCUUUCUAGACUGCUACUCUGGUUAUCACCAGAUCUCGCUAAAGGAAGAAGAUCAGAUCAAAACAUCCUUUAUCACACCCUUCGGCGCAUACUGCUACACGACCAUGUCUUUCGGACUCAAAAACGCCGGAGCCACUUAUCAAAGGGCCAUCCAGCAAUGCCUCCACGACGAGAUUCGUGAUGACCUCGUCGAGGCCUAUGUGGACGACGUGGUCGUAAAAACAAGGGACGCGAGCACCCUAAUCGACAACUUAGACCGAACCUUCAAGGCACUUAAUAGGUACAAGUGGAAGCUCAACCCCAAGAAAUGCAUUUUCGGCGUUCCUUCCGGUCUACUGCUCGGCAACGUUGUCAGUUGCGACGGCAUACGACCAAACCCUUCAAAAGUAAAGGCGGUACUCGACAUGCGACCACCGAAGAACGUAAAGGAUAUCCAAAAGCUAACAGGAUGUAUGGCCGCCCUCAGUCGCUUCAUCUCAAGGCUAGGAGAAAAAGGCCUCCCUUUCUUUAAACUGUUAAAAGCGUCGGAAAAAUUUUUUUGGACAGAAGAAGCCGACACCGCAUUCAACCAGCUUAAGACCUUCCUCACUUCACCACCUGUCCUUACAGCCUGGAGUUUCGCACAAGGAAACAAGAUGUGGAGAUCAAGCAGGAUUCUAGUCGGUUAGAAUAGAAAUUGAUAUCGAAUUAUCCAUGACAAUUGUAACCGACUAGGGUUAGUUUCCGGAUCUGUAACCCUGCCCUCCAGACUAUAUAAGGAGAGGCAAGGGACCCCCCUAGGACAUCAUAUUCUCUCAACACAAAUCAAUACAACCAGACGCAGGACGUAGGUAUUACGCCAACUCGGCGGCCGAACCUGGAUAAAAAGCUUGUCCGUGUCUUGCGUCACCAUCGAGUUCGUAGUUUGCGCACCGUCUACCGAUAAACUACUACCGUGGGUAUACCCCAAGGUAGACUGCCGACUAGCUUUCGUCGACAAGUAACUAGCCAUGUGUAUCUAAAUAGAGUAGAAUUGUAAAAGAGGACGAUGGUAAUCCUAGUGUACUAUUCUUGAGAUGUCUUGAAAUAAUAAAAUAUAGAAGGGCUUUGCACGAAAAGAGGAUGUGAAAAACAUGGCUUAUGCCGAGGCUGUUUGUUCGGUUAAAAAAAUAAGUUGAAAAUAAAGUAAUGUUCACUAAUCUAUUGUGUGAGAAAAAUAUUGUAUCAUAGCUGAUAAGUCUGUGUGUCAUUGUUAUAUUCGUAACAUAAAUUUGCAAAACUCUACAUUUCUCCCUUUUUUUUAAAAAAAAUGACAGACACGAGCUACCUUUUAUAUAGUACAGUCAGGCUUCUCCUUACGUGAUUGAGCAAAGCUCCUGCCAUUUCUUAAAAAAAUGCAAGCUCGGUUGAUAAGGGUUUUGCCGUUUGAGGCUUCCGUUGAGCAUCACGUUUGUGUAAACUCAGAAAAUAAACUAAAAGCUGCUGUGAAGUGAUUUCGUGGCUUUUGAUUUGUUCUGGAAGCUAAAUAAAUAUUAAAUAAAUUUAAUAAUAAAAAUACAGCUACAAAAUCAGCUUUUAUGUCAGAAGUACAAAAGGUACCGCUCAAACAAACUAGCCCUUAGGGGGGCGUUUGGUUGCCUACACCAGUCCUCCUGAGCCAGGCUCUCCGCGUGCGAGAACAGACAUUUGUUUGGUUGGCAUAUGUGCCGAGCGAGGCUACACGCGUGCAAAAAGCCUCUCGCAGCCAGGCUCUGCUGAAACGCAGAAAUCGGCCGUUUUUGUUGGGCCUGGCUCACCUCAUGCGAGCAAGCACUGAACGAUGCAUGACGUGUGAGAUAGAGAUACGUGAACACGGUGAACCAAACAGAUGCUGCUGUUGGCCUAGCUGUAGUGAUCCAAGUAACCAAACAAGAUGCUAUCGCAUACAUAGAGCCUGGUCAAAGUUGGCCUGACUAGCUCUGUGCGAGCUAGGCUCUACCGAGCAACGAACCAAACAGUCUCUAGAUGUCUUCUUCUCACUGUGUGAAAAAAUGGCAUUACAGACGCGCCUUUACUGAUAUCACAGAUGCUCCUGAGUGCGUCAGUGAUAUAAAGUCUGAUAAAUAUUUAAUAAGACCUUAAUACUGACGCACUUCUAACAUCCGUAUGUAAGUAACACAUAGACACGUCAGUAGUAAAGCUUUUUCAGCGACGCCUAUCUAGAACACACGUCAUUAAGGUCCAGCUCGUCAGUACAAAAUUCUAACUGCAGACGCUUCUUCAGGAAUAGGGGUCUGUAGUAAGGAUUAAGCCACAGACGCAUUAUCCAGAGACGCGUCUACAGUAUGAAUUAAAUUGUAACAGUACCAUCGGCAUAUCUCUGUACUAAAUACCUCAAUGAAACGACAUAAAUACACAUCAACAUCUCAUUAAUUAGUACACAGCUUUAACACAAUCAAAUACAGAUCAAAGUUUAAUCACUAAAUUAAAUGUGUAGCUCUAAUAAAGUCACGUUACCUUAUGGCUGGCUAUCGAAUAACUUAUUUUGUAGCUUGAUCAAAACUGGCUCGUGGUCACCAGCGCACCAUGUGUGUCCAUUCAUCCAUGGCAGCUUAGGCGCGUGGCUUUGGCUUUGUGUCUCCCACCUCUCUAGUGAACGCGAUAGCUCUUGAAGUUUUUAUAUUUUCCAAAAUAAUUUCAAUUUUAAACGCGUACUAAAACAAAUUCAGGGUUACUGAUACAAAAUAUGAGAUCGGGUCGUAGAAAAAAGUGCCGAGAGAAAAACUUUUAGAAUAAAAAUAUAGAAAACUUUUGAAGAUGAUUUCUUUUUUUACUCCUCAUGUUAAUCUAGGAGUUCAUAAACAUGAUAUUUUGGGGAAUAUAAUAUAAAAGAUCUCUUGGAGAUGCUAUCUUUUCUUCCACCUCUCUAGUGAACGGUAUAGCUCUUGAAGCACAAAUCCAAUUCUACGGACGUUCAUUCAUUCUACCUCUUGAAGCUUUCAUAUUUUCCAAAAUAAUUUCAGUUUUCAAGACAUAUUCACUGGAACAGCCUCCCAAUAUCUAUUCAAAAUGUAUUCACACGAAAAAGUAAAUAUAUAUUCCAAAUGAGCAAAAUUCCUUAUUUGGUCAAACUUGCGUAGGAUUCCAAAAGGGUUUUUUUGAACGGUGCCAUUACAAUUUCAAAGUAUUUGAAAUAUGCCAUUAUAAUUCAGGUAUCCUGAAGCGGACCAUUACAAUUCUUGCAAAAUUUGAAAUAUGCCAUUGGAUACGGUAGAAGGACGCUUGGGCCUGCUUGCAAGCCGACGUGGCAUACGGUCGACCGUAUGCGCCCGUCGCCGUGAGCCAUCUAAACGGCGCGGCAAAAAACGCCGUCUCCACCCCGCCCCUGACUCAUUCUCGCUCUCCAUCUCUCUGUCUCUCUCGAGCGUAACCCUAGGCGCGGCGGCGGCGGCGUGGCGGCGGCGGCGCAGGGGGAGGCAAUGGAAUAGGGGCGCAUGUCCAUGGCAGACGUGCCCCCGUGCACGGCGCAGCGCAGGGCGCCGCGGAUGGGGGAUAGCAACGAAAGGUAAUGUUUUGUCCUUCCAGAGCACGAAUACGAGUGCAUUAGGUCUUGAUCUGUUGAUUGGCAUUAGAUAUUGAUGUGAUUUGGUUGAUGCUAGGGUUCCGCUAUUUUCUUUAGAAAUUAAAGUGGAAGCAUUCUGUUGGAGAGACUCUUUGGGUAGGAAAGCUUACACAAAGGGCUCUGUAAUUAAGUGGGAUGUGGAGAUUGGCUCGUUUUCAUUUGAUGUACUGAUGGCCAGCUUGCGCAAUGCUGUCAAUUGCUCUACUACUCAGUGUCCAGUUGCUUGGUUCUAUGAUAAAAGGUUGUCUCAAGAUGUCAUGCUAGAAAAUCAAUUCCAGAUUAAUGAUAUGUUUGAGAUGUAUAAGGAGGAGAUGCAUUGCCACAUUGUCGUAGGGGUAUUUGAUCAGUCUGUUCCCACUAUUGAUCAAUUUGAUGAACUAGAUCUUCCUCCUGACACUAGCACUGGCAACCCAGCCAGUACUGACAGUUAUGUUAACCAGCCCACAUUUGAGGCAGAUGUUGCACCAGAGGCUGAAGUUGAGACUCAACUUGAGCCUGAUAGGGAACCUGAUAUGUUUGAUAACGAUGAGGAGUAUGUGGGUUGUGAUGAUGAGGGCAUGUACAUGCCAACACCACCAACACAGCCUCCUAGUAAUUCACCUCCACAUGCUUCUCAUGAUGCUGAAAAUGCUGAUGCUGAUGCUGAUGCUUUUCCUGUUGAGGCAGAGGUCACUGAUGCAGACCCUGAAGAGAUCAAUAUCAUUCAUGACCCAGAACAUCCCAAGAUUGUAAAGGGGGAGUUAUUUCCUGAUAUUGUUUCAUUCAGGAAAGCUAUCAGGCAUUUCUCUGUUACUAAAGGCUAUGUGUUAGCUGGUAUCAAAACAGACCCAUCAAGAUUUAUUGCAAAGUGCAAAUCCGAGGGAUGUCCUUGGCGCAUACAUGCAUCUAGGCUGCAGGGUAGAAAGACAAUACAGGUAACUGUCUAUUCACUAGUUCCUUUGUGCAAGUUUUAUUUUUUCUUUACCUGACAUGUUUCGUAUGCACAGAUCAAAGUACUGCCUGCAGAAGAUGGCAUCACAGUCUUGGUGUGCAGAUAGGCUGGCAGAUUGGAUAAAAAAACAUCCAACAAAACGUGCAAAAGAGUGCAGGGAGAAGUUGGAAGAUGAUUAUGGCAUCAAGCUGAAGUAUUCAAAGGCUUGGUCAGGUAUGCAGUGCGCAUUGGAUCAAAUCCAUGGUAAAUAUGAGGAAAGUUUUCAACUGCUAUUCAAUUGGGGUGCUCAAAUUGAAAAGGUAUCUCUUGGUAGCACUGUAGUGGUAGAGGUUGACAAAAUUGGUAAGAAGAACAGAUUCAAAAGAAUGUUUGUUGCUCUAAAGCCUUAUGUAGAUGGAUUCUUGGCUGGUUGUAGGCCUUUUUUGGGUAUAGAUGCAUCUUGUUUGAAUGGAAAGUAUAGAGGUCAGCUAGCUUCAGCAACCAGUGUAGAUGGACAUAAUUGGUUGUAUCAUGUAGCUUAUGGCAUUUUUGACAUAGAAAAUGAAGACAACUGGACAUGGUUCUUGCAACUUCUUAGUAGAGCAAUUGGGCCUGUCCCAAAUCUUGUAGUUUGUACAGAUGCAUGCAAAGGCGUGGAGAAUGCAGUGGGUAAAACUUUUCCAACAGCUGAGAAUAGGGAAUGCAUGAGACAUAUGUACCAAAACUUUUAUGAAGCACUAUUCUAGUGAUGUAUUCACAGACCACCUUAUCCUACAGCUAGAAGUUACACUCAAGAAAAAUUCCAGUGGCACAUGAAUCAGAUACAUGAGUAUGCUCCUCAAGCUAUAGAAUAUAUUGAGAAUUACCACAGCAGGAUAUGGUACAGGUGUGGGUUCUCAGAAAGUAGCAAGUGUGAUUAUUUGACCAACAAUGUGUCAGAAAGCUUCAAUGCACAGGUGAAGCACCUCAAAGGUUUAUUAUUACAUGAACUGGUAGAUGUUGAUAUUUGGUAACGCAAUAAGGAAAUAAUCCGCAAGCGCACGGAUAUCGGUGAGCAUUUCACCCGGGAGGUUUUCCAGAGUAUCGUAUUUAUAUUUUUACCACUGGGAGAAAGGGUGCAUCUGACUAACCAAAUCUAUUGCUACUAUCCCUUUAGGCUACAAAGAAUGUUUCUCAAUGUGAGUGAUAUAUAGAGAAGACUGCAACCGUAGUCUCGUUCUAACCUUGGUAAGGAUGAUCUACUGUUCUAUUGGGGAAGCUUACGGAAUCUAGACACCACAAAGGAUGUUUGACCCGCACCUAUAAACCUACCCGUCCUGCUAACAAGAUAUGGGAUACAAAGGUAACUCGGAAAUGUCACGUUCCUCGCUACUACCACGGUCCAGCUAGUCAGGGGAUAUCUAUGAGUACCCUAGUGAAAGGUCCUAAUAUGGCUAGAGGGGGGUGAAUAGCCUAUUUAAAAAUUCUACAAACUCACUAGAGCGAGAGGUUAGUAAAUAACAAAGCGAAGCCUUUUGCUCUAGCUCUAAUGGGGUGUUUGCAAGCCACCUGUCCAACAAUUCUAGUUGAUAUAAUCACUAGACACACAAGAGCUAUGUCACUACUUACACUAGAAAGCUACCUAAAGUUUCUAUACAAGUAAGUAAGCUACUCUAGUUUGCGGGAAUGUAAAAGAGAUGGUUUUAACUUUAUACCGCCGCAUAGAGGGGAUGAACCAAUCACUAAUAUGAAGUCCAAUCACCGGGAGAAAUCCAAUGAACAAUCACAAUGGAUACACACAAUUUUACUCCCGAGGUUCACGUGCUUGCCGGCACGCUACGUCCCCGUUGUGUCGACCAACACUUGGUGGUUCGGUGGCUAAGAGGUGUAGCACGAACCUCGUCCUCACUAGGACACCACAAGAACCUACCCACAAGUGAGGUAGCUCAAUGACACGAGCAAUCCACUAGAGUUACCUUUCGGCUCUCCGCCGGGGAAGGUACAAGACCCCUCACAAUCACCGGGAGAUGGCCACGAACAAUCACCAACUCGUGCUAAUCCUCCUCCGUUGCUCCAAGCCGUCUAGGUGGCGGCAACCACCAAGAGUAACAAGAAAACCGCAGCUAGAACGAUCCCCAAGUGCCACUAGAUGCAAUCACUCAAGCAAAUUCACUUGGAAUCACUCCCAAUCUCACAAAGAUGUUUAAUCUAUGAAGGAGAUGAGUGGGAGGUGUUUGCUUAGGCUCACAAGGAUGUUAUGUAUGUUAGAAUGCCAAGAGAGUGAGCCCCAAGCCGGCCAAACACGUAUUUAUAAGCCCCUCAAGCAAAUAGAGCCGUUGGCACUUUCACUGGGCAAACUGCGGGGUCACCGGACGCUCUCAAAGGGGCACCGGACGCUCAACACCAGCGUCCGGUGCUCCAACGUCAGCCAUGUGUCGCCUUUUGAAAAACUCGUGUCAGAGUCUAACGGUCACCUGCAGUGCACCGGACGCUAAGCAAGUUAGCACCGGACGCGUCCGGUGCACACCGGACUCAUGCGCAGAGAGCUCCGCAAACUCGCACGGUCACCGGACGCAAGCCACCGGACGCACCCUGAGCAUCCGGUGCUCACCGAACUCAUGCGCAGAGAGGGUUGCAAAACGCCCUCACACCGGACGCUAACCACCGGAAGCGUCCGGUGCUCACCGGACCCAUGCGCAGAGAGGGUCGCAAAACGCCCACACACCGGACGCGCACCACCGGACGCUCAAGCCAGCGUCCGGUGCCUAUCGUCCGGUGCCUUACCCUAGCUGGGCCAGGCACUGUCUGCACCGGACGCUCAGACGCAGCGUCCGGUGCUCCAGAAGCCAGCGUCCGGUGAGUGUUUUCUCAGCGAGAAACACUCCCACGACUACUCCAAAUUUCCUACCGACGCAAUAGAAAAUAUGCAUUUUAUUUUCUCGAAAAGCGCCGAAUCCCACCUCGCAAGCUCGGCGGGAGGGAGAGAGGAACCCAUCCUCUCUCUACGUACUCUUCAAACUCCACCUCCUUCUCAAAGUGUGCCAACACCACAAGUGUAAACCAACAAGUGUGCACGUGUGUUAGCAUUUUCACAAUCAUUUUCUUAGAAGGAGUUAAGUUAGCUCACUAGGUUCUAAAUGCAUACACAUGAACAAUGACACCUAGUGGCACUUGAUAACCGCUUAGCCAAAGAAUUCCCCUCUUUAUAGUACGGCUAUCUAUCCUAAAUGUGAUCACACCCUCUAUGGUGUCUUGAUCACCAAAACCAAAACCCUAAGCAAUACCUUUGCCUUGAUCUCCAUAGGGUUUUGUUUUUCUCUUUCUUCUUUUCCAAGUUGAGCACUUAAUCAUCUUGUGGUCAUCACCAUGAUCAUCAUGAUCAUCACUUGCUCCAUCACUUGGCAUGUACCAACCUCAUUAAGUCUACACACACUUAGUAUAGAGGUUAGUACUAGGGUUUCAUCAAUUAUCCAAAACCAAACUAGGGCUUUCACCUAGCCUAAACACCACGUUUACGCUAGCAAUAAUUACUCUAAUACUCAACCGGAAGAGGAUUAAAUUAAACUCAUAAACCAAAGAACAAUAAAACAAGAACUUACUAGAAUUAGAAGUCGAAUUACUGAAGAAUCUUAGAAGCAAGCCUCGGGUUAGAAGACUUGAUCCCGCAGGUACAACUCGGAGUAGACACCGACAGGUCGGCCUUCCUCCGAUCUACACCUCCACUCUAUCUCUCUCAAUCUAGUAGAAACUAGAAGAUCUAUUUCUACUUACAUUGGUUGCUAAGCCUAAAAAAAUAUUAUUUAGAGAAGAGGUUUUCCUUCGAGGGCACCCCUCAAUCUCUAUGAUAACUUCUUGUCUUCUCCAGGGGCCAGGGGGGUCUCCUUAUAUAGUCCUCCUCCUCUAUGCGUUUUUGGGUCGGUAGGCGAUGUGGUACUACAUUAUCCUUGAUCCAUUAGGUCGGUGGAACAUCGUGUGCGAAGAGAGUCCCGAACGGAGUCUAGGACACGGCGGGCGCCCAGGGAAAGAGGGCGGGCGCCCUGGGCCUGGCCCCUUUCGGCCUCUGCUUUCUUCCCGUGGCUUCUGGAGUCUUCUAGAUGGUAGAAAAUUACGCGGUGCGUUGAUAUCUCUAUGUAAUCCCGACAUGUGGGCCUUUCUUCCGUAUUUUUUGAUAACCCCCUGCAGAAAUAGACAAACACCAAAACUCAUGGAAUUCUGUCAGAUAAAACCCUAAGUCUAGAUGUUGAUUUCAUUUGGAUCCUUUUCUUUGUUUAUUUGAUAAUUAAAUUUGAUACUUAAGGACCGUCAACAGUAGACAGAAUUAGAGAGCUUAUAAUGGAGAAGAGAUAUUUGAGGAAGAAAGUUGCUAGGCAGUGGGAAGAUGGAAUCCUCCCAAAUGUGAUGAAGGAUUGUUGGGUAUUCUUAACAUCAUUACCAAAAGUAGACUAAGUUCUCUAAAUCUAGUAACGGUGCCAAAAAUGCCAAACCUAUCCCUCACACCACUUAAGCCAAGUUGUCAUCCCCAGCAUGACAUGAGAGACGCGGUAUUGAAAUAUGCAAUUGCUCUUCUAAAUAAAUAAUGAAUGAGAUCUGCAAGCGCACAGAUUAAUACCGAUGUAGCAUUUUAACCGGGAAGUAUUCUAGGUAUCGUUAUUUAUAUUUUUACCACUGGGAAGGGAUUAGCAAUCAUCACUAUUGAUUACAGAAUAGAAUAUGAGAUUGAGCAUCUAUCAUUGCAUGUAUAAUUGAGAACAUUUAUCUAACUCUUCAUACAGGGAUAAGUGUCACAUAAAAGAUAUAUGAAAUAAUAAUAGUGACAAGGAUAACUAAUCUGAUCUAGCCACAUAAUAAAUAUGAUAAGCACCUCAAUUAGAUACUCUAGAAAGUCAUUAGCAUGGUAUUAGAACGAACUAUAAGAAUAUUCCCUAAGUUAUUCUCAACUAUAUAGUUUAGCAUUAUCAUAGUUAGUGCAAGCAUACUUAGCAAUCAUUGUGAGACAAGACUACGCCCAUGCAUAGUGAUAUUAGCAAGGAAUAUGAGAAACAUAGCAAUCACUCCCCUAUAAUAAUGUUGCUCUGCCAGCCCAAUACACGAGAGGGGGACUAUAUAAGAAUCAAUGAAGCUGUCACUAUCACGAACCACCCCACGAUCUGGCAUAUUGGGUACAAUCGCAGAUAAAUAUGGUAUAAGCACCACGCCUACACAAUAUCUAUCAUUUACCCAUGGAUCCGAUGGAUAAACGCUAUACGAUCCUAAGCAUGUAUAUAGAUCGAAUCUAACUAAGCCAAGUACAUAACUAUGAUAAACUAAGAACAAUAUAAUCUUGAAUAUAAGCAAGUAGAGCAAAGUCAUAAGCAAUAUAUUGAAGUAGAACAAAGUCAUAUUUAUAAUAUUGAAGAACAAAGAUAAUUAGAAAGUAAUUAGAAGCACAAUUAGAGAAUUACCAAGAAUCCUCUUGACAGAUCCGGAAACCAAUCGAAGAUUGACUCCUUCUAGUUCUAAUCCUAUGUAGCUAUGCUAAUCUAGAUAUCUAAUUGAUGUGGUGGCUCUAAUCUUGAUCAGAGGCUUCUUCUCCCUUGAAGAACAAUGAAUUAGGGUUGAGAGGCUCCCCCCUCUAGGGGCCAGGGGGUCUGGUUUUAUAGUCCCUUCAAGUGAAUAUGGGCCGUUGGAUCAAACCGACAUAGAUUGUAUGGUUUAGAUUCAUCCUUUAGGUCGGUGGAAAUCUCCCACGAAGCAGAGUCCUGAUUGGACUCAGGAGGUGGGCGGGCGCCCUGAUCACCUGGGCGGGCGCCCAGGGUCACGCCCCGUUUCGCCUCCGCUUCGGUUUCGUGGCUUCUGGAGUCUUCUAGAUGUAAGAUAAUUGCGCGACACGUUAAUAUCUCUAUGUAAUCCCGACGUGUGGGCCUUUCUUCCGUAUUUCCUGAUAACCCCCUACAGAAAUAGACAAACACCAAAACUCGUGGAAUUCUGUCAGAUAAAACCCUAAGUCUAGAUCUUGAUUUCAUUUGGAUCCUUUUCUUUAUUUAUUUGAUAAUUAAAUUUGAUACUUAAGGACCAUCAACAAGGAUCUCAACCUGAUCAGUACUCAACUCAAUGUAGUCAAGGUCAAAGUCAGUGAUGAUAACACUGCUGAAGUUACAAUCCUGGAGUGGGAGAAGCAAAGGAGGCACACUGUGGACCUAGGAAACCACAAUUGUUCCUGCAGGCAGUGGCAAGUGACUGGAAAGCCAUGUAAGCAUGCUUUGGCUUGGAUACUGUCAAUCCCAGGGAUGAGAAUUGAGGAUUAUGUACAUGAGUACUAUUCAGUUGCUAGAUUUAAGGCAGCUUAUGCUGAUAGGAUUGAGCCUAUCCCAGACAAGGAUGAAUGGCCUGUUGUCAACCUUGGUUUUAAAGUGUAUCCUUCAUUGCUAGGCAGAGGUCCAGGAAGGCCAAGGGUUGUAAGAAUUAGAGGGACUUUUGAGCAGAGGGCCACGAAGAAGAAAGUUAGGUGCAAGAGAUGUGGUGACUUUGGACAUUUUUCCAAGACCUGCAAGUUGCCAGAACUAGGUGAAGAUGGAGAAAGAGGACAAGGGUCUUCAAAAAGGUAUUAAAACUAUUGUCUAACCAUUUUAUUAUUUUUUCCUAUGUACUAAGAUCUAACCGGCUAUUGUCAUCUCAACGCAGAAAGAGGCCGACUCAGCAAGUGUCAUCACAGGAAGCUCCAACGCAGGAAGUACCAACACAGGAUGAUGCUGGACCUUCCCAGGUGAAGAAGACCAAGCCUCUGAAGAAGGUUACAACUAAGAAGAAGAAGAAGACACCAAAGAAAACAAAGCUGCAGAGGGAAGCAGCUGCACCUGGGAAGGCUGUUAUCAGCAGCAUCAGGCACCUGAUCUAUGAUGCUCCACAGGAUGCUGAUCUAUGAUUCUCCACAGGAUGCUGAUCUAUGAUGCUCCACUUAUAUGGCUUUGUUCUGAACCUUACUAUGUAAUGAGGCAUUAGAAUGCCAACUUGGAACUUGUAUGGCUGAUGCUGCUACUAUGUAAUGAGGCAUUAGAACUUGCCAACUAUUUUCAGUCAUGUGAACUCUACUUAUGUUAGUUUGUACUCUCCUGUAUUGUGUCAAUUAUCAUGUGAACUCUACUUAAAAUGUUAAGAAAACAAGACAAAGUGCUGCAGAAAUUCUAAUAUAUUUUGAAGCUGAAAUUCUAAUCUAUUUUCAGUGACAAAAGGCAUAGGACAAUGCUGAUCAUACUCAUCGAAGAAACUCAGUGACAAAAUGCUUGUUCUUUCAUUGCAAAUACACAUAAUUACAGUCACUUCAUCAUCUGAGAAAAACCUACACCUAGCAGUACACCCACAAGGACACCUACAACAACAGAUACAUCCAACACAAUUUGCAUUUUCCCCUUCCUGCCCAAGUCCAGUGCUGGACUCUGAUUACUAACUUGACUAGGAACAGCAACAACAUCUCUGUCUCCAAGUUGCACCUUCAUUUUCUCAAGUUCAGUGACAACUCUAUCUAGAGUUUGCUUCAUCUCCUUGUCCCGUUGAUUCAAAUCAUCAUUAGGAUCCCCAACUGCUGAAUGAAGGGGCAACUGCAGCUGAAUCUCUUUCUCCUUUUGCUUCAUAAACCAUGCCUCGUACUGCUCCUCCGAACGAAUCCAGCCACAAGUUGUUGGAUCACCCUGUGCAAGCAACACCAGUCAAAUUGAAAACAAAGGAAGCACAUUCAAGGGCAUAAACAAUGCAAAUAGUUACCUUUACGUUGUUUGGGCACUUGAUGAAUGCGACAUCCUUUGAGUGCUCUUGCUUGCUCACGAUUCGGAUCAAAGGAACAUUGCACACUGGGCAGUUCAGUAGGGGGCACUGCACCCUUCUACUGCCAGCAGCGGAAGAGCUCGAGGCCAUCUUCAUCUGCAGCGCCGCCGUCGGGAUCGUGGCACCGGAAUCGCCGCCGCCGCGCCUAGGGUUACGCUCGAGAGAGACAGAGAGGUGGAGAGCGAGAAUGAGUCAGGGGCGGGGUGGAGACGGCGUUUUUUGCCGCGCCGUUUAGAUGGCUCACGGCGACGGGCGCAUACGGUCGACCGUAUGCCACGUCGGCUUGCAAGCAGGCCCAAGCGUCCUUCUACCGUAUCCAAUGGCAUAUUUCAAAUUUUGCAAGAAUUGUAAUGGUCCGCUUCAGGAUACCUGAAUUAUAAUGGCAUAUUUCAAAUACUUUGAAAUUGUAAUGGCACCGUUCAAAAAAACCCAUUCCAAAAUAGAAAGUCCUUUUCCUUCCCAAACAGAAAACCAUGUUUAUCUGCCAACAGUUUCUAACCCAUGGGUCCCACGGGUGCCAACGGUUUCCCUCUUGAUCCUCCCCAAUCGCCCGCUCACACCACCACGCCGCCACGCCGCUCAUCGUUAACUUCCUGCCCUCCACGGACUUAUCCGCUCGUCGCGCCCGCCUCAAGCUAAUGACGAAUCUAAUGAGUAGAAGAGUGAGGGCAUGUGUCCUUAAGGAAAAAAAACGUCUUCGACCAGAAAUCUCCACCUGCCGCGCUGUGGAGUUCUCGUGCUGGGGCUCCUCCCCGUGCGUCGCCACGGUGCCGUGGCUGACCACACGAGCGCGGCUUGGCAUGCGUCUAAAGAUACAGUGGCCGUUGUUGGAGAUGACCUUGAAGCUGUGCAUCUGCCAUUCUGCCUUCCAUUGGUGCCUAUGGGGUACACUGUCAAACAGCGCUGGUGCCCCCUCCAUCGGCGCGGGAGGAAGAAGAUGACCAGGUUGAGCGGUGUGGAACCGUCGUAAACGAAUCUGCGCGGUUUCUCCCAACACGGUUGACUGUGGGCUGAUUUACGGGUACACGGUUAGUAUACAGCAUCGUACAUACCACUCAUAUAUAUAGUCAUAUAUAACAUCUCAAGUCCAUACACGGCACACUGCUUAGAGAACCUUUAUUUAUUUUGUAUGAAAAAGGGACAUGAAAGAAAACCAUUCUCCGAAUAUAUCAAAACAUGUAUAAGGCUGCCCGUGAAGUAGAAUCGCAUCCCCAUCCACAGAUUUAGUUGUAGGCGUCGGGGUUGGCGACGAGGUAGGCCUCGGCACCCUUGAAAAUGGCGGUGAGUGCCUCCUUGGCCUUGGCUUCCUCGUCCUUCUCGUCCAUGCCCGGCAGCAACUUGUAGGUCGACUCCACCUUCACCACGCUGCCGCCGUCGGCCGUGGGCUCCACCUUGAUGUGUGACGCCGCGGUCUCGAUGGCAACACCGAUGCCGCCGCCCUCGACGAGCGUGUUCUUGCACUCGCACUUGUCCACGUCCAGGAAAUCGAGCCUCUCCUUCAUGAAGCUGAACGGCAUGACUGCAAGAACGAUCGCGCACGUCAUUCGCUAGCUAUUUGAUCGAUCGAUCGGGCGACAACAUGUUGGUCUGGGCGACUGGGCAUGCUGCGGACACUUACAUGAGGUGAAGUUGAACUGCCUGACGCUGCCAACGCCGCCGUCGCCCUCCACGGGGUGGGCGCUGGCGACGACGUGGGAGGCGACCUUGGGCGCCAGGGUGUGCCAGUCCAUCACGGCGGCGCGGAACAGGCGCGGCGCGGCCACCGGCGACGGAAUCUCCAGGGUCCAGCUGCUGGCGGAGGCCAUUACUUCAGUGAUCGGCCGAGAUAAACUAAACUAGGUGCGAGCCGAAGCUGCUUAGGUGCUUGUGCUGCUGCAGGUGGUUUUAGGAUUGCGCUUUUGCUUGCGUUGCCAUUAGAGUGGCGGACGGAGGACUUUAAAUAGGCGGUUAUGGCGGGGUUGGUGGCGUCCCGUGAGGAUGAGACGCUCGGGAGUCGUCGUCGGCGGCUCUUCCCACUUUGGCUUGGCACGGCACCGUCGCUCGUCGGUCCAUGUAGUUCAUUAUAAUAUACUACAUGUUGCCGGGGUUGCGGACAAACGUCUGGAAACGUGCUGCCAUUCCGUCAGCGUUCAACCCCUGAAGGUGUAGAAUAUAUAUCGUCGAAUUGGCGAGCCAAAUCAGCUUCCAGAUCAAAAAGCAUGUACUGUAAGCGUGGGUUGGUGUCAUUAGAAACGAGAAUUAUACCGUACGUGAGCGUCCUGACUACUUGCAUCACUCUUUUGGUGUCGCACUGUCGCUAUUAACUACUAAUAAUAAACAUAAUCCUGUAAAUCCACCUCUUUUUAAUCAUCCUAUAAAUACCUCUACUGGCGACAGCAUGGACAAAGCUCAUACGGAAAAUAACAUAGUGGUGGCCAAAGCUGUAUGGGAAAAUAUUGAUUGCAGACUAUCAAUUGGGUGCAAAAGUACUCAGUGUAAACUAUUAAUUAAGUGCAAAUAUAAAGACAAUUGCUAUGUCACAGUUGAUUGUUUUAGCCUCCGUGAAUAACUGAUUUCCUGGCCGUUUGAUUCUUAUCACGUGGGAUGAAAGAAAGACCAACAACGCUGCGGAAGCAGAGCGUGAGGAAGGACCGAAGGAGCCACCAGGGGUCCACUGAUGUCGCCAUUAGCACCAAGGAGAGGCCGUCGUCAGAGUCAGAGUCAGGGUUGUAGAGGGCUAUCACGUCCGUUGUCGAGGUCGGGGUGGGGUAAAGAUGGCAAUGGAUAAUUACCCGCUGGGUAUAUGCUACCCAUACCUUUACCGAUGAGAAAAUAUUUUACCCGUUAAUUUACAUAUCCAUGUAUGGGUAAGAGUUUUUUCCCAUACCCUUACCCACGUGGGUAACGGGUAAUCCAUGAGUUUUCUUACCCAUGAUUCUAAGAAUACUUGUAAAAAAUAAAUACAUAUUUAAAUAUUCUAGACUCCCAAUUUCAGCCAAAGUAUCAUAAGUCAUUAAUAAAAUCAUCAAAUAUACAAGCUCCAUGAAUACCUAAUCAAGUAAUCUAAUAGAUAAAUCCAUCAUUACUAGACAACAAGUGACAAAAUUUACAAGUUUCCGUGUUGUGCGGCCGCCGCAAGGAGAUAGGGGAAAGGUGAGAGAGCGGAUGUGUGAGGUACUAAGGUGAGGGCCUAGAGUUUGACAGCAUUAUAUAUGAUUUUUAUUGGACUUGGCCUGUGUAUGGUGAUUUUGGUCCAUAAUUCUAACUUAUUGAAUCGGGUCCAAUCCCAUACCCUUACUCGCUUUACCCGCUGGCUAAAGCUUUUUCCCAUUAUCUUACCUAUGGAUAAAAAAAAUAGUCAUACCUUUACCCUAAUGAAGUAAUUAACCAUCGGAUUUCGAGUAAAAAUUGACAUCUUUAAGGUGGGGAAUGGCCGCCGCAUCUACCAUAGCCACCUGCUUCCUGAGAUCCAUGGGGAAAGAGCCCGCCGCUAGCCGAGGGUGAGGAGCCGCCGCCUCUGUGUGGCCAACUUCAUGUCGGGCCUCUACCGUGGCGGGGGUAGCUCACAGAAGGGAAGGGAUAAAGUUGGUGAGGGUGGGUCCCACCAUAAUUGGUGAAUAAUUUGCCAUGUAUUUCUCUAAUAUCUACUAUCUAAAGAAAUAUUUUGUAUUUUUUUCUGAAAAGUUUGGCAUAUUUGUCUUUGAGAUAUGUAAUCUAUAAAAAUACCUAAGAUAUAUCACUAUAUCCAAUAAAUGACACUAUGUGUUAGCAUUUUCUCACUACAUUUUCAAAGGUGUUAACACACUAGAUUCUAAUGCAUAUGCAUUAUCAACAACAGCUAGUGACACUUGAUAAACCGCUUUUAACCAUAAUUUUCCUCUCUUUAUAGUACAGCUAUCUAGUCGACUAGUCCAAACCCAAUUAUAUCCUCUAUGGUAUCUUGAUUGGCGAAACAAGAAUGGCCCUAUCACAUACCUUUGCCUUAAGCUCAUUUUUAUUUUUCUCUUUCUUUUUUUCCAAGUUGGAGCACUUGAUCUUCACACUUGACCACCUCCAUCAUCUAUAGAUGCCAUAAUCUAGCUGGUGUGUACCAAUCCUAUUUCCUAUCUUAUAUACACCUAAAGCAAUGGUUAGUAGACUUAGAUCUCAUCAAUUAUCCGAAACUAAACUAGAACUUUCAUGUAGUGACACAACAUCUACUUUCUCUCACCCUUCCUCUUUCAUGGAAUGCAAGCAUUCAUACAUCAUUAGUAUGUUGUAUGUAAUGAGUCUCUCUAGCACAAACACCGACUGUUCUUCCGAAAUCACCUUUGGGAAAAAAUAAUCCACAGUCUGUUUGCCACCGUCUUAGAAGCAAUCUUAUAUAUCAUGUUACAUAGACUGAUGAUAGGCCAAAACAGCCCGCUCGACCAACUUCUCCACUUUUGUGAUCAAUACUAUUCAUGUGCUAUUUAUCACAGAAGGAUCAUCCUCGCCACAUAAGUCCUAGUGCCGCUAAAAAAAAUGAGCAGGAAAACCAUCUGGCCCCGGCGUUUUUGUCUUAAACAUGUGAGAAAGCUUAGUCCUGAUCUCCUCCUUUCGUAUACAAGGCGAGUGUCCUGACAACUACUUGCAUCACUCUUUUGAUGUUGCACUAUCGUUGUUAGCCUUAUCAUUAACUCCUUUCCUCUCUAAUCUCUAGAAUUAAGCAAAGAUUUGAAUGCUUUCUCAAUUUACCAUCAUAUAAUUAUUAUAUUAUAAUAUAAUCAAAUAAAUACACCUCUUUUUAUUCAUCCCGCAAAUAUAUCUAGUGGCAAUGAGUAUGGAAAGAGCUAAUACGAAAACUAUCAUAGUGGUGGCCAAAUACAUGAGAAAAUAUUCAGUGCAAACUAUAGAUUGGGUGCAAACAUAAACCCUUUAUAACAUAAUUAGAUGUUUUCUUAAAAAAAUGCCCACUUCGCCACUAAAGUUAAGAUACAAAGAAAUGGGGUGGGGGUGUGAUGCAAAGAUAUUGGAGAGUGAAUCUCUUCUUUCAAACCUCCCAAGAAACUAGUCACAAAGUAAACAUAAUCGUAGGAGCUAUUGUACAAUAGAAUUUGAUGCGCAGGCUGUUCAAGCUACUCAAAUUACUGUGACCGAACUAGUCUACUGAAGAUGAUUGUUUCAUACAUAACUCAUAUUGGUCACGAUUAAAAUAAUUACAAACCGCAUCACAAGAGCAGGCCAAGAUGUGAAACAACCACACAACUCUUUAAAUUGUAACCAAGUGGCAGCGGUCCUCCAGAACUCAAUGCAACAGAGCUAGGCUUCAAUGUCUCGCUGAUAGAGUACAUCUCAAAAUAGAUCUUACAGUGAUCCUUCCACAACCAUAAAUUGUCACCAUCAAAUUUGGGGAAAUAUGAUUUGGGCAUCGGACCAACUGGAGAUGUAUAAGAAUAUGAAUGUUCCAUCGGUCCACCUAUCAUUCCCUUGUACUUGCGUGCCCGUUAGUUAGCUAUUAUGUUCCUCUUUUUUAUUGGAUCCCAAACACCUCUGCUUCUAGACCAACUUCCAUCGUCGUCUACACAUAUCCCAUGGAGUUAGAGCAAGUUUAAUUAAUACAGUCCACUUGCUGACUGUAAGGUUCCUUACAGCCUUCUUUCAGCCCCACCCAUACAAUAGUUAGUUAUUCAUUAUUAAUACAUGACUCACUUAUCUCUCUUACAAAGUUUUCAGCUUACAACAUGCUUCUCUUCUCUCUCCUCCACCUCAGUAUUUAGCCAGCUUACAGCCCACUAUAAUACUUGCUCUUAUGACAAAUGCCUACUUCUCUCGCCUUUUUAGUGAACACUAUAACUCCUGGAGUCUUCAUAUUAUUCGAAAAAUAAAUUCAAAUUUCAACAAUGACACAUUCAGCAGAAUAAAAAGUCUCCAAAUUUCUAUUAAAAAAGAGCAAACAUUCCUUAUUCAGUCAAACUUGCAAAGGAUUUCAAAACAGAAGACCUCGUAUAACCAUGAGGGUGUAAGUAAUCUCACAAACAAAGCAUCACAAACCACUUAUAAUCUCAAGUCCAUACACGGUACACCACACACUGCAUAGAGCAACUUUAUUUUGUUUUGUAUGAAAAAAGAGGAAAACUCCAGGAAAGAAAAAAGAAAAUUAAACCCAAACUUCAGGAAGGGGAAUCGCAUCCCAAUCGACUGAUUUAGUUGUAGGCGUCGGGGUUGGCGACGAGGUAGGCCUCGGCACCCUUGAAAAUGGCGGUGACUGCCUCCUUGGCCUUGACUUCCUCGUCCUUCUCGUCUACGCCAGGCAGCAGCUUGUAGGUCGACUCCACCUUCACCACGCUGCCGCCGCCGGCCGCGGGCUCCACCUUGAUGUGCGACGCCGCG